UACAGGGGGUGCAAACGUUGCUCGGAAUUAUUGGGCGUAAAGCGCGCGUAGGCGGCUACUUAAGUCGGAUGUGAAAGCCCUUGGCUCAACUAAGGAAGUGCACCCGAAACUGAGUGGCUUGAGUACUAAAGAGGGUCGCGGAAUUCCCGGUGUAGAGGUGAAAUUCGUAGAUAUCGGGAGGAACACCGGUGGCGAAGGCGGGUUGCUGGGCCGACACUGACGCUGAUGCGCGAAAGCCAGGGGAGCAAACGGG
This 253-nucleotide ribosomal RNA is filed under the name uncultured bacterium. RNAcentral's name for it is "partial 16S ribosomal RNA". It matches the Rfam family "Bacterial small subunit ribosomal RNA", at positions 524 to 776 of the family's 1533-position model. The record is from RNAcentral.